UACAGAGGUCUCAAGCGUUGUUCGGAUUCAUUGGGCGUAAAGGGUGCGUAGGCGGCGCGGUAAGUCGGGUGUGAAAUCUCGGAGCUUAACUCCGAAACUGCAUUCGAUACUGCCGUGCUUGAGGACUGGAGAGGAGACUGGAAUUUACGGUGUAGCGGUGAAAUGCGUAGAUAUCGAGAGGAACACCAGUGGCGAAGGCGAGUCUCUGGACAUUUCCUGGCGCUGAGGCACGAAAGCCAGGGGAGCAAACGGG
This 253-nucleotide ribosomal RNA is filed under the name uncultured bacterium. RNAcentral's name for it is "partial 16S ribosomal RNA". It matches the Rfam family "Bacterial small subunit ribosomal RNA", at positions 524 to 776 of the family's 1533-position model. The record is from RNAcentral.